GAGUUUGAUCUUGGCUCAGGAUGAACGCUGGCGGCGUGCCUAAUACAUGCAAGUCGAGCGAACAGACGGGGAGCUUGCUCCCCUGACGUUAGCGGCGGACGGGUGAGUAACACGUGGGUAACCUACCUAUAAGACUGGGAAUAACUCCGGGAAACCGGGGCUAAUGCCGGAUAACAUGUUGGACCGCAUGGUCCCUACAGUGAAAGACGGUCUUGCUGUCACUUAUAGGUGGACCCGCGCCGUAUUAGCUAGUUGGUAAGGUAACGGCUUACCAAGGCAACGAUACGUAGCCGACCUGAGAGGGUGAUCGGCCACACUGGAACUGAGACACGGUCCAGACUCCUACGGGAGGCAGCAGUAGGGAAUCUUCCGCAAUGGGCGAAAGCCUGACGGAGCAACGCCGCGUGAGUGAUGAAAGGCCUUCGGGUCGUAAAACUCUGUUAUUAGGGAAGAACAAAU
This 459-nucleotide ribosomal RNA is filed under the name uncultured microorganism. RNAcentral describes it as "bacterial SSU rRNA". It matches the Rfam family "Bacterial small subunit ribosomal RNA", at positions 9 to 454 of the family's 1533-position model. The record is from RNAcentral.